Molecule: ribosomal RNA, 1293 nt
Filed under: metagenome
Description: bacterial LSU rRNA
Rfam family: Bacterial large subunit ribosomal RNA
Source: RNAcentral
UAAAGGUAGUGCCAAGAAAAGCUGAGUUGAUGUUGAACAAAAGAUUCCGGUACCCGAAACCGACACAGGUAGGCAAGUAGAGAAUACUAAGGGGCGCGAGGUAACUCUCUCCAAGGAACUCGGCAAAAUGACCCCGUAACUUCGGGAGAAGGGGUGCCACCGAGAGGUGGUCGCAGUGAAGAGUCCCAGGCGACUGUUUAGCAAAAACAUAGGUCUCUGCAAACUCGAAAGAGGAGGUAUAGGGGCUGACGCCUGCCCAGUGCCGGAAGGUUAAAGAAGUUGGUCAGUCGAAAGAUGAAGCUAACGACUGAAGCCCCGGUGAACGGCGGCCGUAACUAUAACGGUCCUAAGGUAGCGAAAUUCCUUGUCGGGUAAGUUCCGACCCGCACGAAAGGCGUAACGAUCUGGGAGCUGUCUCGGAGAGAGGCUCGGCGAAAUAGGAUUGUCUGUGAAGAUACGGACUACCUGCAUUUGGACAGAAAGACCCUAUGAAGCUUUACUGUAGCUUGGAAUUGUGUUCGGGCUUGCUGUGCGCAGGAUAGGUGGGAGGCUAUGAAGGUAUGCUUGUGGGUGUACUGGAGCCGUCAGUGAGAUACCACUCUCAGGGGGCUAGAAUUCUAACUAAAGAAAGGACAGUUUCAGGUGGGCAGUUUGACUGGGGCGGUCGCCUCCAAAAAGGUAACGGAGGCGUACAAAGGUUCCUUCAGACUGGUUGGAAAUCAGUCGCAGAGUGCAAAGGCAGAAAGGAGCUUGACUGCGAGAAUUACAGUUCGAGCAGGGUGGAAACACGGUCUUAGUGAUCCGACGGUGCUGUGUGGAAGGGCCGUCGCUCAACGGAUAAAAGUUACUCUAGGAUAACAGGCUGAUCUCCCCCAAGAGUUCACAUCGACGGGGAGGUUUGGCACCUCGAUGUCGGCUCAUCGCAACCUGGGGCGGAAGUACGUCCCAAGGGUUGGGCUGUUCGCCCAUUAAAGCGGUAUGUGAGCUGGGUUCAGAACGUCGUGAGACAGUUCGGUCCAUAUCCGAUGUAGGCGAGAGAAUAUUGAGAGGAGCCUUCCUUAGUACGAGAGGACCGGGAAGGACGCACCGCUGGUGUACCUGUUAUGAUGCCAAUUGUAAACGCAGGGUAGCCAAGUGCGGAGAGGAUAACCGCUGAAAGCAUCUAAGUGGGAAGCCCACCUCAAGAUGAGUAUUCUGUGUUAAGGUCACGGGAAGACGACCCGUAAAUAGGCACGAGGUGGAAGUGCAGUAAUGUAUGAAGCCGAAGUGUACUAAUAGACCGUCAGCUUGAUC